AGCAGUAUCUGUUUAUCCCUUUUUGUUUGUGACGCCUAAAGGGUUACUGAAUGUGAGCAUGUGCCUCGGCACUCAAGUCUAAUUUAGUAUCACAUGCUCACUAGCCAAUCCCAGCUAAAUGGUUCUGCUCCUGAUUCAUCACAGCUAAGCAAUGCCAAAAAUGUUACUGGACGACCCCUGAAAAGAAAAGUUUGGUCUUUCAAAAGCAGCCAGACAGCUGAUAUGUUAAAUACGCACAGCAUCGGGGUUCUUGUGUCACUGCAGAAGUGCUUAUUGCCAGCUGCGCAAUCUUUGCCUCGGUAUUCUUCUAUUUCUGGAGUACCUUCAGUGGGUUAAGAGUAUUAUUUGGAGCUAUUGCCUUAAUGAUCAUGUUCGGCAUUGGCAGUACUUUAGUUCCAAAGAAGGGAUUCUGGGUCUUUAUGUGCCUUCGAAGCCUCUUGGACUCAGUAAAAGUUGAUUAUAUGGCUGCUACUCCUGCCCUGAUAGCAGACAUUUUUGAUGGUGAAUCUCGACUUAAAAUGCAGACCUUACAUUAUGUUCUUAACACUUUUGGGUGAUAGCACCACUGUUAGAUCUGGCAGCUCUGGGGCUGCUAGCAGCAGUGACGAGAAAGCCAGCUCGAGGUGGCAUGACGUUCAAGGCUGAUAUACAUCAAAAGAAAACAACUUUACACUCUGAUUAUCUUGAUCUUGUUUUAAACUGUCUUCAGGAACAAGCAUCAGGAUGGACUGCAGUAAAAUUUAUUUUAUAUUAAUUUCAAAUAAUAUUUGAAUAUACUGUAUUUUAUAUACUUGUGUAAAUGUAUAUAUUUUAUGCUGUAAAUAUUUUGUAUAUAGUUUAUUAAGCGAUCAUUAAACUAUGCUGGAAUUAAAAAAAAGCCUGUUAAACUUC
This is a long non-coding RNA of Xenopus tropicalis (tropical clawed frog), 891 nucleotides long. RefSeq lists it as uncharacterized. The record is from RefSeq and is a predicted model, not a curated record. Lineage: Eukaryota; Metazoa; Chordata; Amphibia; Anura; Pipidae. The transcript is spliced from 5 exons.